GGGGAAUAUUGGGCAAUGGGCGCAAGCCUGACCCAGCAACGCCGCGUGAAGGAAGAAGGCUUUCGGGUUGUAAACUUCUUUUCUCAGGGACGAAGCAAGUGACGGUACCUGAGGAAUAAGCCACGGCUAACUAC
Molecule: ribosomal RNA, 134 nt
Filed under: uncultured bacterium
Lineage: Bacteria
Description: partial 16S ribosomal RNA
Rfam family: Bacterial small subunit ribosomal RNA
Source: RNAcentral